UACGGAGGGUGGAAGCGUUACUCGGAAUCACUGGGCGUAAAGAGCGCUUAGGCGGGCUAGCAAGUCUGGUGUGAAAGCCCAGGGCUCAACACUGGAAGGGCACUGGAAACUGUUAGGCUUGAGUUCCGGAGAGGAGUGGGGAAUUCCCGGUGUAGCGGUGAAAUGCGUAGAUAUCGGGAGGAAAACCGGUGGCGAAGGCGCCCCUCGGGACGGGAAAUGACGAUGAGGCGCGAAAGCGUGGGGAGCAAACAGG
Molecule: ribosomal RNA, 253 nt
Filed under: uncultured bacterium
Lineage: Bacteria
Description: partial 16S ribosomal RNA
Rfam family: Bacterial small subunit ribosomal RNA
Source: RNAcentral